CACGCGGUAAACGAUGAUUACUGGCUGUUUGCGAUACACAGUAAGCGGCCCAGCGAAAGCGUUAAGUAAUCCACCUGGGGAGUACGUUCGCAAGAAUGAAACUCAAAGGAAUUGACGGGGGCCCGCACAAGCGGAGGAACAUGUGGUUUAAUUCGAUGAUACGCGAGGAACCUUACCCGGGCUUGAAAUGCGGUGGACUGGCAGAGAGAUCUGCCUUCCCUUCGGGGCCGCCGUGUAGGUGC
RNAcentral lists this ribosomal RNA (242 nucleotides) under uncultured Petrimonas sp. Its description in RNAcentral is "partial 16S ribosomal RNA". It matches the Rfam family "Bacterial small subunit ribosomal RNA", at positions 796 to 1041 of the family's 1533-position model. The record is from RNAcentral. Lineage: Bacteria; Pseudomonadati; Bacteroidota; Bacteroidia; Bacteroidales; Dysgonomonadaceae.